This 261-nucleotide ribosomal RNA is filed under the name uncultured prokaryote. Its description in RNAcentral is "partial 16S ribosomal RNA". It matches the Rfam family "Bacterial small subunit ribosomal RNA", at positions 524 to 784 of the family's 1533-position model. The record is from RNAcentral.
UACGUAGGUGGCAAGCGUUAUCCGGAAUUAUUGGGCGUAAAGAGCGCGCAGGUGGUUGAUUAAGUCUGAUGUGAAAGCCCACGGCUUAACCGUGGAGGGUCAUUGGAAACUGGUCGACUUGAGUGCAGAAGAGGGAAGUGGAAUUCUAUGUGUAGCGGUGAAAUGCGUAGAGAUAUGGAGGAACACCAGUGGCGAAGGCGGCUUCCUGGUCUGUAACUGACACUGAGGCGAGAAAGCGUGGGGAGCAAACAGGAUUAGAUA